ACCUUCGUGGUGUAGUGGUCAGUACGCUCGACGCGUAACCGAGAGGUCCGUGGUUCGAUUCCCGGCGAAGGCA
This 73-nucleotide transfer RNA is filed under the name Stegodyphus mimosarum. It matches the Rfam family "tRNA". Rfam says of the family: Transfer RNA (tRNA) molecules are approximately 80 nucleotides in length. Their secondary structure includes four short double-helical elements and three loops (D, anti-codon, and T loops). The record is from Rfam by way of RNAcentral. Lineage: Eukaryota; Metazoa; Arthropoda; Arachnida; Araneae; Eresidae.